RNAcentral lists this ribosomal RNA (496 nucleotides) under uncultured bacterium. RNAcentral describes it as "partial 16S ribosomal RNA". It matches the Rfam family "Bacterial small subunit ribosomal RNA", at positions 29 to 507 of the family's 1533-position model. The record is from RNAcentral.
AUGAACGCUGGCGGCGUGCCUAAUACAUGCAAGUCGAGCGAACAGAUGAGGAGCUUGCUCCUCUGACGUUAGCGGCGGACGGGUGAGUAACACGUGGAUAACCUACCUAUAAGACUGGGAUAACUUCGGGAAACCGGAGCUAAUACCGGAUAAUAUAUUGAACCGCAUGGUUCAAUAGUGAAAGACGGUUUUGCUGUCACUUAUAGAUGGAUCCGCGCCGCAUUAGCUAGUUGGUAAGGUAACGGCUUACCAAGGCAACGAUGCGUAGCCGACCUGGGAGGGUGAUCGGCCACACUGGAACUGAGACACGGUCCAGACUCCUACGGGAGGCAGCAGUAGGGAAUCUUCCGCAAUGGGCGAAAGCCUGACGGAGCAACGCCGCGUGAGUGAUGAAGGUCUUCGGAUCGUAAAACUCUGUUAUUAGGGAAGAACAAAUGUGUAAGUAACUAUGCACGUCUUGACGGUACCUAAUCAGAAAGCCACGGCUAACUACGUG